This 74-nucleotide transfer RNA is filed under the name Paenibacillus peoriae. RNAcentral describes it as "tRNA-Trp". It matches the Rfam family "tRNA". From Rfam's summary of the family: Transfer RNA (tRNA) molecules are approximately 80 nucleotides in length. Lineage: Bacteria; Bacillati; Bacillota; Bacilli; Caryophanales; Paenibacillaceae. The record is from RNAcentral.
GUAGGCUUGGUGUAACGGUAGCACGAUGGUCUCCAAAACCAUUAGUCAAGGUUCAAAUCCUUGAGCCUAUGCCA